Molecule: long non-coding RNA, 686 nt
Organism: Alligator mississippiensis (American alligator)
Lineage: Eukaryota; Metazoa; Chordata; Crocodylia; Alligatoridae
Exons: 2
Source: RefSeq, a predicted model, not a curated record
CACCCGCCUCGCCCCGCCUCGCCCCGCGCGGAGGUCGCCUCGGGGCUCACGGUCGCCCCCUGCUGGAUCCGGCCGCGUCCAGCCGCGGGGGGCGGUGCCGGUGCCGGUGCCGGGAGCCUGGGCCCGGGGGCCUGCGGCUCACGCUGCUGCGGCCUCUGAAGACAGCCCUGGGGUAGCGAGUGGGCGCGGGGCCGGGAGCCGUGAGGCCUUGCUCGCAGGCAGUGAACGAGUCACGUCUUGUGCGAUCGGCCCCUGAGGCAGCCGGACACGACACACGUGCGGGGCGCGGUCGAAAAGGCCGCGUGGUGACAGACUGAGUCUCCGCACGUGAGGCCGGAGGCAGGAAAGGCUCUUCAAGUACAACUUCCGUGCAAAAAAGUCUGAUUACUACUGCAGUGUGAAGAUCCAAACAGAAGGCUGGGAGAUGUACAAGUUGUGACCGAAGAGACUGAGACUUCAACGGGAGACAGAAAUACACAUGAAGGCAUGGACCCUGUUUCUUCCUGGGUGUUUGAGAGGAUGUAGGAGUGAUUAUCUGGAGCAUUUACAUUCCAUGUUUACAUGUUUUUGAAACAGUAGUUGUGCUUGCUAAAGUACCCAUUGUCUUUCCAAGGUUGGAGAUCAAUGGACUGCUUUUCAAUGGCUUCUUCUGAUGGAAAUAAAAGUUGCAACAAAAUGGGUCCAAA